AACGAACGCUGGCGGCGUGCUCAACACAUGCAAGUCGAACGCGAAAGGGACUUCGGUCCUGAGUAAAGUGGCGCACGGGUGAGUAACGCGUAGAUAACCUGUCUUCACGUCUGGAAUAAUACGCCGAAAGGGGUACUAAUACCGGAUAUUCUUGCUUUUCAUAAGUUUUGCAAGGAAAGGUGGCCUCUGAAUAUGCUACUGCGCGAAGAGGGGUCUGCGUACCAUUAGCUAGUAGGUGGGGUAAUGGCCUACCUAGGCUACGAUGGUUAGCGGGUCUGAGAGGAUGAUCCGCCACACUGGCACUGGAACACGGGCCAGACUCCUACGGGAGGCAGCAGUGAGGAAUAUUGCGCAAUGGGGGAAACCCUGACGCAGCGACGCCGCGUGAGUGAGGAAGGCCUUCGGGUCGUAAAGCUCUGUCAAAGGGAAAGAAGUGCAUGAUGGCUAAUACCUGUCAUGUUUGACGGUACCCUUAAAGGAAGCACCGGCUAACUCCGUGCCAGCAGCCGCGGUAAGAC
This 518-nucleotide ribosomal RNA is filed under the name uncultured bacterium. RNAcentral's name for it is "bacterial SSU rRNA". It matches the Rfam family "Bacterial small subunit ribosomal RNA", at positions 29 to 526 of the family's 1533-position model. The record is from RNAcentral.